CGCUUCUUCUACUCCUGUUAAUGACUCAUCUACUCUUACUACUGAGAAGGUUCAGCAGAUGAUUCUUUCAGCUUUUUCAGCCUUAGGGCUGCAAGGAUCAGGUGUCGGGCAAGAUACUCGCGAGGGGGCCUAAAGUUGGACGUUUAUUUCCUUUACAUUUUUCCAUUCCUGAUGUCAUUUCAUUUGCUUGUAACACUGUGAACAAUAAGUGUGAAGUGUGGCACAAACGGUUAGGUCAUCCUAAUUCUGUUAUUUUAUCUCAUGUCAUAAACUCUGGUUUGUUGGGCAAUAAAGAUCAAUUUUCUUCUCUCU
Molecule: long non-coding RNA, 312 nt
Organism: Carya illinoinensis
Lineage: Eukaryota; Viridiplantae; Streptophyta; Magnoliopsida; Fagales; Juglandaceae
Exons: 2
Source: RefSeq, a predicted model, not a curated record